RNAcentral lists this long non-coding RNA (268 nucleotides) under Homo sapiens (human). Its description in RNAcentral is "HSALNT0275263". The record is from RNAcentral. Lineage: Eukaryota; Metazoa; Chordata; Mammalia; Primates; Hominidae.
CAAAGUUUCAGAAGACAGGCUGGUUAUCUUAUUGAAGUGAAUGCAGCUGGUGAUUUUAGGUGGAAGUCAAUACUCAUUAACUAUUCCAAAAAUCCUAGGGCCCUUAAGAAUUAUUCUAAAUCUAUAAAUGCAACAAGAAAGCCUAGAUGACAGCACAUCUGUUUAGAGCAUGGUUUACUGAAUAUUUGAAGCCCAAUGUUGACACCUACUGCUUGGAAAAAAAGAUUCCUUUCAAAAGAUUGCUGCUGACUGGCAAUGCACUUGGUCA